Molecule: long non-coding RNA, 363 nt
Organism: Gossypium arboreum
Lineage: Eukaryota; Viridiplantae; Streptophyta; Magnoliopsida; Malvales; Malvaceae
Exons: 2
Source: RefSeq, a predicted model, not a curated record
AGCCAUGCUGCAAAUUCUGUGGUGUGUAGCGGUUGGGUGGGUCGAGUUGUCUCCCCACACGGUGUAAGGUUGGUACGGGGGUGUAUACGGUUGGAUAUGGUUGGGUUUCUGCAUAAACAUGUAAUCCCCAACCAUAGUGGGCUUGGAGCUGUGAGGGAAUUCGGAGUGGCCACCUGUUCUGAAAGUUUGAUUUUCUUCUGGUGAACUGGACAUCCUUUUAUUUACGUUUGAAGUUUUGGGUUUUUAAAUGUAAUAAGGCCGCUUAUUUAUUUUUGAUGGUUUUUUUAUAUGUAUUAUUAAGAUAGGUAAUACUUAUUUUAACUGUUGAAAUUGGAUAGCUUUAGGGCGCGUUUUCAAAAACAA